ACCUGGCUAAUUUAUUGGUAUCUAAGAAAAGCAACGGGGGGAUCCACCUUACUUACCUAGCCAAUUUGAUUAAGCGAUCUUGAUAUUGAAAAAUCUUAAUGUUAAAAAUACUACUAGGGGCCUUCCUUCUGCUGGAUUAAUGUUAUAUCAUGAACUAUGGUUUGUUUGUUGUGUUACCAUAGGGCUUGUCAUAAGGAUUGAUAUAACAUAAUCCUAGUGCAUAGAAGA
RNAcentral lists this long non-coding RNA (228 nucleotides) under Elaeis guineensis (African oil palm). RNAcentral's name for it is "long non-coding RNA (EGUI_LNC055357)". Lineage: Eukaryota; Viridiplantae; Streptophyta; Magnoliopsida; Arecales; Arecaceae. The record is from RNAcentral.